AUACGGAAUCCAAAACACAAAUGCUUGCCGGUGAAUUACAAUGGAAAAGGCAGCAACAUCUAAAACAAAGGAGUUACGGAAUCGAGGCUCUGGAAAAAGCUGUGUCCGAAGCACGACAAACAGGCAACAUCCGGAAAUCUUAAUAAACGCAGAUGCUGUGCAAAAAACUUCCAACGGAAAUUAAAUGUCUGGUUACAAUUCAGUUGUGUCGGAAGUUAGUCCAGAUUCCACAGAAGAACCUCAAAACUUCUUUCUGGCGUUA
Molecule: long non-coding RNA, 262 nt
Organism: Aedes aegypti (yellow fever mosquito)
Lineage: Eukaryota; Metazoa; Arthropoda; Insecta; Diptera; Culicidae
Exons: 3
Source: RefSeq, a predicted model, not a curated record